RNAcentral lists this ribosomal RNA (427 nucleotides) under uncultured archaeon. Its description in RNAcentral is "bacterial SSU rRNA". It matches the Rfam family "Archaeal small subunit ribosomal RNA", at positions 147 to 575 of the family's 1478-position model. The record is from RNAcentral.
UAAUACCGGAUAGAUCAAAGAUACUGGAAUGUUCCUUGAUCCAAAGCUCCGGCGUCCAAGGAUGGAUCUGCGGCCUAUCAGGUAGUAGUGGGUGUAACGUACCUACUAGCCUACGACGGGUACGGGUUGUGAGAGCAAGAGCCCGGAGAUGGAUUCUGAGACAUGAAUCCAGGCCCUACGGGGCGCAGCAGGCGCGAAAUCUUUACAAUGCAGGAAACUGCGAUAAGGGGACCCCGAGUGCCAGCAUCUAAUGCUGGCUGUCCAGCUGUGUAAAUAGCAGUUGUUAGCAAGGGCCGGGCAAGACCGGUGCCAGCCGCCGCGGUAACACCGGCGGCCCGAGUGGUAACCGAUUUUAUUGGGUUUAAAGGGUCCGUAGCCGGCCUGUUAAGUCUCUUGGGAAAUCUGGCGGCUCAAUCGUCAGGCGUUC